This 366-nucleotide RNase P RNA is filed under the name marine eukaryotic metagenome. Its description in RNAcentral is "Bacterial RNase P class A". It matches the Rfam family "Bacterial RNase P class A". From Rfam's summary of the family: Ribonuclease P (RNase P) is a ubiquitous endoribonuclease, found in archaea, bacteria and eukarya as well as chloroplasts and mitochondria. The record is from RNAcentral.
CCGGGGGACGGCCGCCGGCGGGCGCAAGCCAUGCGGGAGGAAAGUCCGGACGCCAAAGAGCAAGGCGCUCUCUAACGGAGAGCGGGGGAGACCCCAGGGAAAGCGCCACAGAAAAUAUACCGCUAACCGGUUUUACGACCGGCAGUAAGGGUGAAAUGGCGAGGUAAGAGCUCACCGCGAUGGUGGCGACAUCAUCGGCACGGCAAGCCCCGCCUGGCGCAAGGCCAAAUAGGGAAACGUUACACAGGGUUGCUCGCCCGAUGUUUCCGGGUAGGCCGCUGAUGAUCGCGUCGGCAACGGCGCGGCUAGAUGAAUGGCCGUCGCCUGUUUAUAACAGGUACAAGAUCCGGCUUACAACCGGCCUCU